RNAcentral lists this ribosomal RNA (467 nucleotides) under uncultured bacterium. RNAcentral's name for it is "partial 16S ribosomal RNA". It matches the Rfam family "Bacterial small subunit ribosomal RNA", at positions 28 to 506 of the family's 1533-position model. The record is from RNAcentral.
GACGAACGCUGGCGGCGUGCUUAACACAUGCAAGUCGAACGGAAAGGCCCUGCUUUUGUGGGGUGCUCGAGUGGCGAACGGGUGAGUAACACGUGAGUAACCUGCCCUUGACUUUGGGAUAACUUCAGGAAACUGGGGCUAAUACCGGAUAGGAGCUCCUGCUGCAUGGUGGGGGUUGGAAAGUUUCGGCGGUUGGGGAUGGACUCGCGGCUUAUCAGCUUGUUGGUGGGGUAGUGGCUUACCAAGGCUUUGACGGGUAGCCGGCCUGGGAGGGUGACCGGCCAAAUGGGAGCUGAAAUACGGCCCGAACCCCUACGGGGGGAAGGAGGGGGGAAUUUUGCAAAAGGGGGGGAAGCCGGGUGAAGGAACGCCGGGGGGGGGAAGACGGCCUUCGGGUGUGAAACCGCUUUCGCCUGUGACGAAGCGGGGGUGAGGGAAAUGGGUAAAGAAGCACCGGCUAACUACGU